Molecule: long non-coding RNA, 5330 nt
Filed under: Fragaria vesca (wild strawberry)
Lineage: Eukaryota; Viridiplantae; Streptophyta; Magnoliopsida; Rosales; Rosaceae
Description: long non-coding RNA (FVES_LNC001673)
Source: RNAcentral
UCACCUCCAAAAUUUAGUACUUUUUAUAAUUAUAGAAAUAUUUAGAAUGACAUACAUAAUAAUGUUGAGAAAAAUAAUAUAAUAGAAGUAACAACUCAAACCACACAAAUGAUAAAUAUGCAAAGAUGUAAAAGAUAGAGAAAAAGGAACACCAGAUAUAACGUGGUUUGACAAUGUGCCUACGUCCACGGGGCAGCAAUAACAAGAACUUCUACUAUGAAAUAAUGGGUACACGAGAUACACAACUUCAAGAACACUACUUGAAGGAAACCCUCUCUCACACUUGUUUUGCUACCAACUACUCUACACUCUCAACUUGGAGUGGACACUCUUCUCUACUUGGAAGAUGGAUGUUUGAGAUGGAUGAGAUGCUUGGAAUGAGCAAAUGACUCUCCUUUUAUAGGCUAAGGAGGAAUCAUCUAGACCUCUCAUUAGUGCUCUCCCAAUAAAUGGUACUUCAUGAAUCUUCCUGUAACUCAUGCCUUGACUAUAACUCCAAAACCAUCCAUGUUCUUUGUGUAACUCAUGUAACCUUGUGUAACUCAUGUAACUCAUAAAACCUUUCAUUACUAUUUUAUUUAUUUUGGUUUGGAUAUUAUAACAAUCUCCCCCUCCAAACCAACCCGGGGAAAUAUCCGGCAAGACUUCUAUUUGAAGUCCAUCCCAGCGGACUUGCUGCAAUACUCCAACUUCUGUUGUGGCACAACCUUAGUCAACAUAUCUGAAGUAUUCUUGUUGGUGUGAAUUUUCCUCAACUGCAAAAACUUUUUUGACAAUACAUCUCGUAUCCAAUGAUAACGUAGAUCAAUGUGCUUAGUGCGAGGGUGAUAAACUGAAUUUUUACUCAAGUGAAUUGCACUCUGACAAUCACAAUACACCACAUACCUUUCUUGCUUCACACCCAACUCCUGAAUGAACCUUUGCAGCCAUAUCAUUUCCUUGCCUGCUUCAUUUGCCGCUAUGUACUCGGACUCAGUGGUGGAUAAAACAACACACUUCUGUAACUUGGACUGCCAUGAUACAACUCCUCCACAAAAUGUAAAUAAGUACCCAGAAAUGGACUUUCUGUUAUCAAGGUCCCCAGCUAAAUCUGCAUCUGUGAAACCCUUAAAAACGGGUUCGGAUCUACCAAAAGACAAGCACAUCUUGUCUUUCUCCUCUUGUGUAGUUGGGCAUAAUAAUCUGCUUAACUUAAAGUGAUUGCCUAGAGGUGAGCUCACUGACUUGGCUUCUUUCAUGUUGAACCUUUCAAGCACCCGUUCAACAUACCUCUCCUGUGAUAACCAUAAUUUAUUUGCCUUCCUAUCACGGGUAAUCUCCAUGCCCAAAAUCUGCUUAGCUGGACCUAAGUCUUUCAUAUCAAAAGACUUUGAUAAAUCUGCCUUCAACUUGCAGAUCAUAGAAACGUUUUGCCCCACUAUCAACAUAUCAUCAACAUAAAGCAACAAAAUUAUAAAUUUACCUCCAGUGAACCGUUGAAUGUACACACAUGGGUCUGCAUCAGUUCUUCUAUAUCCGUGACCCACCAUGAAUGAGUCAAACUUCUUGUACCAUUGCCUUGGUGCUUGCUUCAGUCCAUACAAACUUUUCUUUAGCUUGCAAACCAUGUGCUCCUUGCCCUCGACCUCAAAACCUUCUGGUUGCUCCAUGUAUAUUUCUUCCUCCAAAUCACCAUGUAGGAAUGCCGUUUUUACAUCUAACUGCUCCACCUCAAGAUCCAUGCUAGCUGCCAUGCCCAAAAUAACUCUAAUAGAUGUCAUUUUGACAACUGGUGAGAAGAUCUCAUCAAAAUCUACUCCUUCCUUCUGCCCGAAACCUUUGACAACCAAGCGAGCCUUGAACUUUGUCAACUGUUCAUUCUCGUCCCUCUUCAACGUGAACACCCAUUUGUUUUUGAGUGCUUUUCUGCCUUUAGGAAGCUCCACCAACUCGUAGGUGCCAUUUUUCAACAAGGACUCCAUCUCAGACUUCAUAGCUAAUAUCCACUUGUCGUCGUCUGCAUGAGUCUUCGUCUCCUCAAAGCAUUCAGGCUCUCCAUCACCAGUCAACAUAAUGUAUUUGGAAUAUGGAUUAUCUCCAUCACUGGUGAGCAAAAUAUAUUGAGAAGAAGGAUAUUUGGUACUUGGCUUCGGUACUCUAUGAGAUCUUCGAACUGGUGCUUGGGCAUUUUCUUGUUGUUGUUCUUGAUUAGGUUCUUCAUGAUCAGGCUCCCCCUGAUCAUGAUCAUCAUGAACCUGAGUCUCCUAGUCAUCAUUUGCAGCACCUGCAGCUUCUGGUUCUACCGUAUCAGGGACGUCUUCAUUAACCAUUUUUUUGAGGUUUGUUAGACUCUUCUUAGAGCGGAGACGAGUCAUAAGUGAGGCGCUCUGCAUUUUCUAGUAUGUUCUUGUCAAAAUUCGCAACAGUUUGAUCCUCAUGGAACACCACAUCUCUGCUUCUGAAUAACUUCUUGGUUAUUGGAUUCCACAACUGGUAGCCCAUCUCUUCAUUACCGUACCCAAGAAAGAUGCACGGCACGGCCUUGUCAUCUAGCUUCAAUCUUUUCUCCUUUGGAACAUGUGCAAAUGCUUUGCACCCAAAUACCUUCAAGUGAGAAUAUGAAGCACUUCUACCGGUCCACACACUCUCUGGAGUCUCCAAGCCCAACGGUACACAUGGUGUUCUGUUGAUGAGGUAACAAGCGGUUGUCACUGCUGCGCCCCAAAACUCUUUCACCAGGUUAGCCGUCUUUAGCAUGCUUCUCACUUUUCCAAGAUGGUGCGGUUCAUCCUCUCUGCUACACCAUUAUGUUGUGGGGUGCCAGGAACUGCCUUUAUGUGUCUAAUGCCAUGCUUCGAACAAUAACCUCUGAACUCGUUCGAAGUGUACUCUCCACCAUUAUCACUGCGGAGACACUUGAGGGUUCGUCCCGUCUCCCUCUCAACCAUGGCAUGGAACUCCUUGAAGGUUUGGAACACCUGGUCUUUUGAUUUUAACAAAUACACCCAAACCUUUCGUGAAGCAUCAUCGAUAAAAGUGACAAAAUAUUUGCUAUGACCUAGUGAAUCAACUUCCAUAGGACCACAUACAUCCGAGUGUACUAGGUCUAAAACAUUCUCUUUCUUUGUAAAUGUAUUAGCAAAACUAACCUUAUGUUGCUUACCAAAUAAACAAUGAUCACAAGAUUCAAGUGAGGUACCUUUGGGAAACGAAAUAAGAGACUUCUUUGCCAGAACUUGCAAUCCCUUCUCACUUACGUGGCCUAACCGCUUGUGCCAUAGACUUGGAGAAGAGUCAUCCAUGACAUUCAACUCCCCUUUGUAUAUCUUGCCAUAUGUCUUGUAGAGGGUGCAACACAACUUCCCUCUAGCCACCACUAGUGAUCCUCUGGUAAGCCUCCAUUUUUGAUCUCCUCCGUGAUGAUGAAAACCUUCUCGAUCAAGCACGCCAGUUGACAUCAAAUUGAGACGUAGGCCCGGAACAUGUCGAACAUCUUUCAACAUCAGCUUAUUGCCCAAAUCGGUCUCAAAGCAGACAUCUCCAAUUCAUGCAAUCUUGGAGUAGCCUUCAUUGCCCAUCUUUACAAUCCCAAAUUCACCACCUUUGUAUGUCAAGAAAAACUCCUUAUUUGGAGUGGCAUGGAAAGAGGCUCCGGAAUCAACGACCCAUGCAACACCAGGAGUAUCGUCAGCAUGUAGGCAUUCUCCUUCAAGACAAAGGAACUCAUACACAUCAUUGCACACAGUAGCGGUUGUGUUCUUUGUGUCAUCCUUCGGUUGAUGAGUAUUGUCAUCUCGAGCCUCCCUAGGAUCCUUUUUAAACUUGUUGCAAUUUUUCUUCAUGUGCCCAAAAAUACCACAAUGAUGGCACUUUCCAUUGAACCUUGUUCUGGAUCGGCUUGCACUCCUUCCAUGGCCUCUAGGUCCUUUACUCUUGCUCCUACCUCUAUUCUCCGCCACAAAGACUUGGCUAUUGUUGGAGCUAGAGGAUUUUCUCCUUGUCUCUUCAUUCAACAUGUUACUUUUAACAUUAUCCAUUGUCAAUUUACCAUCAGGAGCAGAGUUACUUACAGUGAUGACAAAGGUCUCCCAAUUGUCCGGCAACGACCCCAACAACAGCAAUGCUUGUAAUUCAUCAUCGAUCGUCAUCCCCAUGGUCGUCAAUUGAUUGAUUGUACUUUGGAAGUUGUUUAGAUGCUCGGUGACCCUCACGCCUUCACGAUACUUCAUGUUAACAAGCUCUUUAAUUAGAAAGGCUUUCUUGGAGGCAGUCUUCUUCUCGAAUAACGACUCCAACUUUGUCCACAACUCAUGCGCAUCAGUCUCGAUCAUUUGCCACAUGGUGGAAUACACUAUCAUCUAUCUACUCUCGGACAUGACCGAUUGCCUUACGAUUCAUCUUCGUCCAAUUAGCAUCUGAAGUCCCUUCCAGCUUAGCAUCAACUCUUUCGAUGGGCUCAUGCAAAUCUUUGCAAUAGAGUAUGUCCUCCAUUCGUGACUUCCAUGUAAUCCAAUUUGAGUGGUUGAGUCGAACCAUUGUACUCCUUGAACCUUCCAUUUUAACACCCACGCCCUACGAACCAAGGGCUCUGAUACCACUGUUGGGAAAAAUAAUAUAAUGGAAGUAACAACUCAAACCACACAAAGGAUAAAUAUGCAAAGAUGUAAAAGAUAGAGGAAAAGGAACACCAGAUAUAACGUGGUUCGGCAAUGUGCCUACAUCCACGGGGCAACAAUAACAAGAACUUCUACUAUGAAAUAAUGGGUAUACGAGAUACACAACUUCAAGAACACUAUUUGAAGGAAACCCUCUCUCACACUUGUUUUGCUACAAGGAGGAAUCAUCUAGACCUCUCAUUAGUGCUCUCCCAAUAAAUGGUACUUCAUGAAUCUUCCUGUAACUCAUGCCUUGACUAUAACUCCAAAACCAUCCAUAUUCUUUGUGUAACUCAUAUAACGUUUGUGUAACUCAUGUAACUCAUGAAACCUUUCAUUACUAUUUUAUUCUAUGCGUGUAAAUAAGGUCAUCCUAAAUACAAAAUUUCAUGGCUCAAAUUCUUUUCUCAUCUACGAUCCAACAUUCCAACUACUAGCAUUGAUAUUGGUUUGAAAAUAAUUAAGGAAAGAACAGAAAAACCAUCAAGAACAUGGUUUAAAUUAAGAUGAACUAUAGGAUAAUUAUCAUAGCAGAUAUCAUUUUAAUAGGAAAGUUUUGAAGGACAAACCAAUUCAUUCGCUCGAAUAAAUUAUGCAUCAAAGAUCCACUCAUUGCAUGCCAACAGCAGAUUCAAAUCUGAAUUCAUCAAUCAAUUUCUAAUAAAGGUUCGGGGAGUGAAAAUGAUUAAGCAAAAC